Molecule: long non-coding RNA, 493 nt
Filed under: Citrus maxima (pomelo)
Lineage: Eukaryota; Viridiplantae; Streptophyta; Magnoliopsida; Sapindales; Rutaceae
Description: long non-coding RNA (CMAX_LNC002222)
Source: RNAcentral
GAAGCGGACGGCCUUCGAGCAGUUCGGUGCACGAGCACGGAGCCUGCCGACUGACGCCCUCCAAUCACCACUCACACGCCCUGCCAUUCACUUGGCUACGACCUUGCCGAGCGUCCCGUAGGCCCGAAGCAAUUGCCGUCGGGUCUACGGAAGCACCAAGCAAGGCUAAGCCAGCACCGUCGGACGCGAAAAGCAGCACACAUUUACUUUUUUCCGCAAAAACAAGGCCAUUCACUUGGCUACGACCUUGCCCAGCGUCCCGCAUGCCCGAAAAAGUUGCCGUUGGGUCUACGGAAGCACCAAACAAGGCUAAGCCAGCACCGUCGGACGCGAAAAGCAGCACACAUUUACUUUUUCCGCAAACAACAAGGCCGUUCACUUGGCUACGACCUUGCCGAGCGUCCCGCAUGCCCGAAGCAAUUGCCGUUGGGUCUACGGAAGCACCAAGCAAGGCUAAGCCAGCACCGUCGGACGCGAAAAGCAGCACACAUUU